UUUCAGAAACUAAAAGUACUUGCAACGAUGGCUGCAAAGCUGGCAUUGGUAUAGCGGUAGUUCUUGUAGUCAUCUGUGGAGGUUAUACAGCCAGGAGAAGAUAUAUCCGAGUCACAACAAUGGUCGAGGUGAUAGAAUAAGGACAAGCACGACAUUCAGCAUGCCAUGUGGUCAUUCAUCUACAAGGAUCUACACUUAUAUCAAGCAAGUCAGCGUUUCAUGAAGCAAAAAGUUGUAAUAUUGCAUGUGAUUGUAAUGGUUGAUACAACAGUUCACCAGUGCUGAUUUGAAAAAAAAAAUGUAAUCAUGUUAUCAGUUCAAAGCAAGAAAGUCAUUUAUUCAAGUUUUUUCAUAAUCACAUUAGCACAUUUUUGCAAGAGAAAAAUUUUCUUAAAUGAUAAGUGACAAUAGAAACAAUAGAACGCAUUGUUUAUCAACAUUACGAAUUUUCGUUGCUUCUGUUUGUUAGAGUGUUUUUAUUAAAACGUUUUUAUGUUAUUUUUCGAUUCUCAAAUAUAACAAUCACCACUCUACCACCUGUUACUCACAUGGCCAAGUUUUUUGUGCUUGUUAUUUCGACUCAAGUGAUUUCUUUUCAGCGCACUGACUGUACAGAAGUUUUUUAAA
This is a long non-coding RNA of Pomacea canaliculata, 627 nucleotides long. RefSeq lists it as uncharacterized. NCBI's taxonomy places the organism in Eukaryota, Metazoa, Mollusca, Gastropoda, Architaenioglossa, Ampullariidae. The record is from RefSeq and is a predicted model, not a curated record. The transcript is spliced from 3 exons.